RNAcentral lists this ribosomal RNA (488 nucleotides) under uncultured bacterium. RNAcentral describes it as "partial 16S ribosomal RNA". It matches the Rfam family "Bacterial small subunit ribosomal RNA", at positions 28 to 507 of the family's 1533-position model. The record is from RNAcentral.
GACGAACGCUGGCGGCGUGCUUAACACAUGCAAGUCGAACGGAAAGGCCCUGCUUUUGUGGGGUGCUCGAGUGGCGAACGGGUGAGUAACACGUGAGUAACCUGCCCUUGACUUUGGGAUAACUUCAGGAAACUGGGGCUAAUACCGGAUAGGAGCUCCUGCUGCAUGGUGGGGGUUGGAAAGUUUCGGCGGUUGGGGAUGGACUCGCGGCUUAUCAGCUUGUUGGUGGGGUAGUGGCUUACCAAGGCGUUGACGGGUAGCCGGCCGGAGAGGGUGACCGGCGACACUGGAACGGAGACACGGCCCAGACUCCUAAGGGAGGCAGCAGGGGGGAAGGUUGGACAAGGGGCGAAAGCCUGAGCCAGCAACGCCGCGGGUGUGAGGAAGGCCGGCGGGUUGUAAAGCACGUGUGGCGGGAACGAAAAGGACUGUGCCAAUACCACGGUUGGAUGACGGUACCCGCAGAAGAAGCACCGGCUAACUACGUG